UUGCGCCUACGGGGGGCAGCAGUGAGGAAUAUUGGUCAAUGGGCUUACGCCUGAACCAGCCAAGUCGCGUGAGGGGAGACUGCCCUAUGGGUUGUAAACCUCUUUUGUCAGGGAGCAACGCCGGCUACGUGUAGCCGGCCUGAGGGUACCUGAAGAAAAAGCAUCGGCUAACUCCGUGCCAGCAGCCGCGGUAAUACGGAGGAUGCGAGCGUUAUCCGGUUUUUUUGGGUUUAAAGGGUGCGU
This 243-nucleotide ribosomal RNA is filed under the name uncultured bacterium. RNAcentral's name for it is "partial 16S ribosomal RNA". It matches the Rfam family "Bacterial small subunit ribosomal RNA", at positions 333 to 572 of the family's 1533-position model. The record is from RNAcentral.